Molecule: long non-coding RNA, 3812 nt
Organism: Setaria italica (foxtail millet)
Lineage: Eukaryota; Viridiplantae; Streptophyta; Magnoliopsida; Poales; Poaceae
Exons: 3
Source: RefSeq, a predicted model, not a curated record
GCAGCCGGCAACAACCCCCACUCCACUCGUUGCUGGUGAGUGUGUCAGGCAACAAUGGCAAGAGGUCAUACUGUCUUCGUCAGUUUUGCCAGACAAGUAAGAACAGAACAAGUCGGCGUCCAGAAGAACGACUUGUCGACUUCAGUUUCAGCCGUUCAUCAGAUGAUUUACGGCUUAGAGCAAUAAGAGCGUUGUUUAGCGCUAUUAAAGUUGUAUUGCCAUCUCCUAAACAGUGUUUUGUGUAAACAAGUAUCGCUAAUGCAACAGACCGGGUCAGCGGCGGGGUAAUUUAGGCUCGCUGGAUUGCUUGGCGAAGGUUAUCGAGUCUAUGAACUGCAUAAACCCUAGAUAGGAACUACCUUAGCUGUCUCCUCGUCACUCUGGCGAUUUAUCUGUAUCUGAAACUCAUUAUCUUUACCCAGAUUCAGUAAUACAGCUGCUAGUUCUAUCCAUUGCCGUUCAUACUCUUGCAUUCUUCUUCCGAGUUGUGCAUCUUUCACAAUCUUCUCCCUUGCGAUUUGCUUCUUUCAAUUGCUCAGAUCACCGGAUCCUGGCAGUUGGUAUACAGAGCCAGCCUUCCUUGGCUUAAAUUCUCCAGAGCCAAUUUCUCGAAUCUUGUCCGAUUGGCGCGGGGGUAGGUGGUUGCGACCUACUCGCCGAAAAUCCCACCCUCCGACCCAGAUUCGACGAAACCACCCAUUUUCCCCCAAAAUUAACGAUCGAUUCUUGUCAGCCAGGGUUGCUAGGCACUUGUUCUAGCGUAAAAUUCCGUAAACUGACCUGAAUCAGAUUCGUGGAGGCGAAGGUGUGGACUGCUCUUUGGUGAGGGUUGUCAAGCAAGUCUUGGUGUAAAAUUCUGGAGCCAAAUCCGCAGUCUUGGCGGCGGUAGAACAGUCUUGUGAAUCUGAUUGGGGAAGGCUUGACCUGAACCGAAUUCACAAGAGAAGAAGAUGGGGACUGGUGAGGAAAACGGUGGCGAGAACAUGUAUGCUACUGCAGAAGAAGUGGAUGGGAUCCGGCGUACUUUGGAUUCCUUUAUGAAAGAUCAAGAGAAGCAUAAUGAUUCUGUGAAGAAAAGUUUGGAUGAUCUUAUGAAGAUAUUGACAAGCAAGAAUGAAAAGUUGGGUACUUCAACACUGGAAACAAAGGACCCAACACAAAAUUAAGCCACCUCCUAUACAGAGUAAGCAAAUUCCCCCAAUUCAUUCCAAUAUGGCACAGGUUCACAAAUCCACACACUUCAUGGAUAAUUCAGGCAUGGCACAAAAACAAUUUUAUUAUCCACCAUUUACUUCAAGGGCUCAAAUAGAUGAUACUGAGUCACAUGAAUGGUCUAGACAUGCUUUUGGUUCAGUUCAACACUUUACUGAACCGGUACCCAGAAAUGGAUUUAGAGGAUUGUCCUUGGAAUGCCAAAGAGUUGGGAGUUUUUUUAUGAGUUGGCUACCGAAGAACUACAGCCCAAAAAACAACCAAAACAAUUGCAACACCAUUUUCCACCGCCACAACAAAAUAUGGCCUGAAUUCCUACUUUCCCUGAACCACCCAACCAAGUCAGCAACCAACCACACUAUACAAACCAUUUACAAUCCCAGCAUAAGGCAAUUGCUCGAGGACUUAAACUGUCUUUUCCAGAAUUUGAUGGCUUUUAAUUUCAAAAAAAAAUUUGAUGGCUUUGAUUCUGAUGGAUGGAUCAAAAAGGCAGAGAAAUAUUUUGAGUUGAUUGGGGUACCAAAUGAAGAAAGAGUGAAAGUAGCUGUAAUGUAUAUCAAAGGAAGAGCUGGAUUUUGGUGGAGGUACUAGCUGUAAUCCUUCAACAUUGCCAUGGCACCAUUUUUGUAGAAUGGUGGGAGACAGAUUUAAUGAGAUCUCAUCCUCUGAAGUAAUUGGCCAGUUUCAUAAUUUGAAACAAGCUGGCUCAGUGCAAGAAUAUGUGGACAAAUUUGAAGAACUCAUGGGCAUUAUCAGAAGAGACAAUCCUUCAUUAACUGAGCAUUAUUUCAUCUCAAACUUUGUGUCAGGCCUGAAAGACUAUAUACAGCAUCAUCUACAAUGUCAUGACUAUUACUCUGGAUAAUGCAUCCUAUAAUGAUAGCAUGUCUACUUCCCUUAGGAUGAGAUUGCAAGCUCAUGGCAGAUUAUUAUGUGAAGGUGCUUUUUUUCAAGUGCGUUGUGCCCAUAUUCUGAAUUUAAUUGUUCAAGCUGGUCUAAAAUUGAUUGCUGGUUCUGUUGACAAGACUCGCCAAGGAGUUCAAUACAUUCAUGGUUCUGGUAUCCGUAAGCAUAAGUUUUACACUGAUGGUCAGAAUUUGUUUCAUCUGGAUACCAAGAGGAAGCUAUGUGUUGACAUGCAUGUGCGAUGGAAUUCAACUUACAGAAUGCUUGAAAAUGCAAUAUUUAACAAGGGUGCUCUGAAACAGUAUGCAUCGAGAGAUGGAACCUUCAUGUCUCAUUUUGAUCUUUCUGAACUUGAGUGGAAGAGGGUAGAUAUCAUGACUACACUUUUUAAGUCCUUCCAUGAAGUCACAUGCUCUUUCUCUGGCACAAAAUACCCUACUGCUAAUCUGUACUUCAAAUGUGUGUUUAGGAUUCACUCUCAGUUGCUGGAAGCAGCCAAAGAGCCACAAAAUUUCAUGUCAAGUAUGGUGUAAGAAAUGAGAGCUAAGUUCGAUAAAUAUUGGUCUGAUUACAGCCUGAUUCUGUCGUGUGCUGCUAUUCUUGAUCCUCGGUAUAAGAUUAAUCUCCUUAGGUUCUGCUACAAGAAGCUAUGUGCUAAUGAGUCAGCUGCCGAAGAACAAGUCAAUAAAGCUGUAACCAAGCUUUAUGAAUUAUUUGAAGCGUACAGGGCCCAAAAUUCCAAUCCGUCUAUUACUAGUCCAAGAAAUCUGGUUGGACACAGUCAUCAGGAUGACUUAUUUGAUGAUUAUGCUGAUUACGUGACCACUGUCGCACCACAGACUCAGAAAUCUCAAUUGGAUUUGUAUUUAGAACAAGCAACAGGCAACAACCAACAAGAGACCCAAAAGUCGAUUUGGACAUAUUGGAGUUUUGGAAGGCCUCAUCUGUGACUUAUCCAGAACUAGCAAGCAUGGCUCGGGAUCUCCUUACCAUUCCAGUUUCUUCAGUUGCCUCAGAGUCUGCUUUCAGCAUAGGGAAAAAGGUGAUAAACCCUUGUCGAAGUUCGUUGAGUCCAGAAACAGUGGAUGCUUUUGUCUGCAAGAUUGGGUGCGCGUAAAGAAGGAAAUAGCUGGAGUCGCUAUAAAAGUUGAUGAUGGUGACGAUGUCGUGGAUGUCGAAUAGAACUUCUGGCUUCUAAUAUUUUUGUCCUUUUGGUGAAGACUGAUCAGCAUCAGCCCAAGUUGUCGGCUACAUUUUGUUGAUAGGCAACACUCUUUUGUUUAUAUAACUAUAGGUUGUUCAUGGGACACCUAGCCAUAGUGCUGCAGCAGCUGAACCUGGAUGCAUGGAGUAGUGGUAUUUUGUUUAUAGAACUCAUGCUAAUCAGCGAUUAGCAAAAUUCUGUUGUAUAGCAGCUUACUUACAGAACUCUAGUACUAAUUAGAAGCUAGCAUAAUUGUAUCGUAUGGCUGCUUAAUUUCCUACCUAGCUACUUCUCGUUUACCUUGUUAUCCACAAGAAUGCUGGACUGAUGGGACUCUGUAAUCUGCAUAAUGCAGACCGAGUAUUGGACCCUGUUGUACAUUGACUCUGUUCUGUUCUUGUCACUUGCAAGUUGCAGCUUGCAACGUUGUAUGAGUAUGGACAUGGCUACGUGUUAUUUUACUUAUGCUAAUGAGUAAUGACCAUCCCCA